Long non-coding RNA from Helianthus annuus (common sunflower), 648 nucleotides. RefSeq lists it as uncharacterized. The record is from RefSeq and is a predicted model, not a curated record. The transcript has 2 exons. NCBI's taxonomy places the organism in Eukaryota, Viridiplantae, Streptophyta, Magnoliopsida, Asterales, Asteraceae.
AUAUCCAAUACAUAAUUAUUGGUAAACGGAAUCUAAUCUUGGAACAUGAAUAUUGACAUUUAAUAAUUGAAAAGAAAAGAAAAAAAAUAAUAUAAUUAUUAAAAAAAAUUAUAUACAAACAUAGAAAAAGAAAAGUAUAUUCUUUCCAUCCACAUAGUUCGUCAAAAAUCUCGGUUUCAGUUUCCAAACUUCUUUAGAAAAAGAGAUUUACGACAAACCAUAUGAACGAAAACAAUAACUUACGCUACAAAAAUUAACCAUCCUCAGUAAAAACCAGAUUUCUUAUCAAGAUCUUUCUCUAUUGCCUUCGAUCGUGUUCAAAAACUUCAACCAGUUCAUGCUCAAUCUUCUUAAACAAUCCACCACCAAUACCAUUCUUACUAUGCCCAUACUGAAUCAUGGGAGCUUUAUUAAUAUCCAGAAAAUACAAAAUCACCACUGUAGCUACUGAACCAACAAACAUCGGAAUCGGACCAAAUAUCCACAGAAGCAAAGUGGUCGCAAAGUAGAGUGCUCGCAAUCCGAUAGCCCAGAAGUUACUACCUCUCAACACAGCCUUUUGGAUGCAAUCCACCGGAACAUCUCCAGUGGGCAUGCUUAUGAGGAAACACCCAUGAACAAAGUGUCUUGUGGUUUGUACAAAACAAG